AGAACGCUGAUGUGAACAUUCAUGUAUAAGUUUUUAUGUGGACAUAUCUUUUCACUUCUCAUGGGUCUACAUAGGAGUGGAAUUGCUGGGUCAUAUAGUAAUUCUACAUUCAACCUUUUGAGAAUCUGCCAGACCAUUUUCCAUAGUGUCUGCACCAUUUUAUAUUCCCACCAGCAGUGUCUGAGGGUCCUGACAUCUCCAUGUCCUUGCCAAUAUUUUAUGUUAUCUGUGGUUUUGGUUAUUAUCAUCCUCAUGGAUGCAAAGUGAUAACUCAUUGAUUUGCAUUUCACUGAUACUUUAUGAUACUGGCAUCUCAUCAUGUACUUAGUGGAUAUUUGUAUUUCUUCUUUGGAGGAAUACCUAUUCAAAUCCUUUGUCCAAUGUUAAAUUGGGUUAUGUCUUUCCACUAUUGAUUUGUAAGAGUUCUUUAUAUAUACUAAGUACAACUUCCUUGUAAUAUGUAUUAUUUGUAAUUUUUUUCCUAUUUUGUGGGUUGUCUUUUCACUUUCUCAAUGACGUUUUUUAAAAACAAAAGCUUUCAGUUUCGGUUAAAUCCAGAGUAUCCAUCUUUUCCUUGUUGUGGCUGGUGCUUUUGGUAUCAUGUUCUAAGAAACCAUUGUAUAAUAAUAGGGUCACAAAAUUUUAUAUCUAUGUCUUUACCCUUUCUUCUAAUGAGAGUUUUUGUGACAUUCAGCCUUUUUCACCCAUUUUGAGUUCUUUUUUUAUACAUGCACACCUUGGAAAUAUUGCCGUUCAAUUCCAGAUCUCCACAACAGAGUGAAUAUCUCAAUAAAUCUAGU
Molecule: long non-coding RNA, 800 nt
Filed under: Marmota monax (woodchuck)
Lineage: Eukaryota; Metazoa; Chordata; Mammalia; Rodentia; Sciuridae
Source: RNAcentral